Molecule: ribosomal RNA, 495 nt
Filed under: uncultured bacterium
Lineage: Bacteria
Description: partial 16S ribosomal RNA
Rfam family: Bacterial small subunit ribosomal RNA
Source: RNAcentral
GACGAACGCUGGCGGCGUGCCUAAUACAUGCAAGUAGAACGCUGAAGGAGGAGCUUGCUCUUCUGGAUGAGUUGCGAACGGGUGAGUAACGCGUAGGUAACCUGCCUGGUAGCGGGGGAUAACUAUUGGAAACGAUAGCUAAUACCGCAUAACAGUAGAUGUUGCAUGACAUUUGCUUAAAAGGUGCAAUUGCACCACUACCAGAUGGACCUGCGUUGUAUUAGCUAGUUGGUGGGGUAACGGCUCACCAAGGCGACGAUACAUAGCCGACCUGAGAGGGUGAUCGGCCACACUGGGACUGAGACACGGCCCAGACUCCUACGGGAGGCAGCAGUAGGGAAUCUUCGGCAAUAGACGGAAGUCUGACCGAGCAACGCCGCGUGAGUGAAGAAGGUUUUCGGAUCGUAAAGCUCGGUUGUAAGAGAAGAACGAGUGUGAGAGUGGAAAGUUCACACUGUGACGGUAUCUUACCAGAAAGGGACGGCUAACUACGUG